This is a long non-coding RNA of Trichomycterus rosablanca, 1280 nucleotides long. RefSeq lists it as uncharacterized. The transcript is spliced from 3 exons. The record is from RefSeq and is a predicted model, not a curated record. Lineage: Eukaryota; Metazoa; Chordata; Actinopteri; Siluriformes; Trichomycteridae.
CUGCACCUACUGCUGUAACCUUCUUAGUAGUAUUUCUCUCAAAUAUCAGCAAUCAGACAUUCUGUUUAGUGUCAGUAAUCUGGAGAUCUGAUUACUUAAAGCUACAACGCUCUGAAGAUCCUCUGUUUUGGUGCGACAAGCAGAAACACUUUUUGCUUCAAACCUUUUCUACUCUGUGCUUGCUGUAACUGUGCCCCCGUGAGGAUGGGUGUGAAGGUACUUCUGUGCUUCCCCUUCUACAGACGAAGCAAAGAGCAAUGCAAAAACAAGGAGUGCCCUCCUGACACAGAUCCUGCUGUACAAACUGAAAAGCCAAAGCUACGUCUCUCCUCCACAACAUCAGUGGUUAGUGAGGGCGACAGUUCAAGCAGCCUGGGAAGCCCUCAGGUAUACUUUUCCCAGAAAGCUCGGCUCUCCUUCAGACAUCAAAUGGACAGCAACUUCAAUGCAAUAGAUGCCACAUAUUAAUUUCAAUCAUUUGCCAAGCACCUGAAUUUGAACUCUAAAUCUGUUAAAAGACAGGGCUGUGAAAGUGGCGGAUGGAAAGGGAACUGAAGCAAUGUGUGCCCCAGUGACCUAAUGCCACUUAGUGGAUUACCUCGAAGCUGUGAAAGUCAUACUGUGCUUUCAUAAGCACUGAUUAGCAUAGUCAUAGAAAAAGAAAAGCCAGGAAAAUUUAAGAGGAAAUGUUUACAAGAUCACAUGAAAAGUGCUUUCUAUGUUCUGUUCCAGUCUUAUCCACUUUUCUUAUACUGUUUUCUCCAUACUGGAGUACUAUGAAGCUCACAUAUGUUCGAAAAUCAUGAAUAUUCAUUAACAAGACAUAAUAUAAUUAAUUGUGAUUGUUUUAAAAUGGAUUUUAGAGAUUAUGUUUCUAAGCCCUUUCCACAAGUGUCUUUUGGCUUAUGUCUUUUCGGUAAACUUGUACUGGUUUACAUGCAGUAAAAACAUAUGUGCUAAAUAACUAACUCUUAGAGAUAUUACAGUUCAAACCCAGUGAUUUGUAAAGCUUUUAUGUAAGCAAACAUAACAGUUUGUUUUAAUGUUAUUUUUGGUGAAAGAGCUUUUCUAAACCCUUCUUGUGAUAUAUUUGUGUUUUGUAUUUUUGUAUAAAAUUGCACAGAGUUUAUAUAUUACACAAAGCAAAUUAAAUGCAAUUUAAUUUAAAUGAAAUUUCAAUUAAGAUUUAAACUUCUACAGAUCUACUUCUAUAAAAGCAUACACUAAUUAUAUUCAUGAUACACUAAUAUAAAUAACAUUAAUAUUAUAAUGUAUAAUGA